RNAcentral lists this ribosomal RNA (118 nucleotides) under Periophthalmus magnuspinnatus. Lineage: Eukaryota; Metazoa; Chordata; Actinopteri; Gobiiformes; Gobiidae. The record is from RNAcentral.
UAUAGUGGACAUACAACCCUGAGAUUCCCUGAUCUUGUCUGAACUCAGAAGCCAAGCGAAGUUGGGCCUGGUUAGUGCUUGGAUGGGAGACCUCUGGAAAUACCAGGUGCCACAGUGG